Acanthosepion pharaonis is the source of this 111-nucleotide non-coding RNA. Lineage: Eukaryota; Metazoa; Mollusca; Cephalopoda; Sepiida; Sepiidae. The record is from the annotation of a GenBank genome assembly.
UAUGGCCACAUCACAUUGAUACAGUGGUCCCCAUACAAUCACUGAAGUUAAGCAACGCCAAGCCUGGUCAGUACCUAGACGGUGACUGCUUGGGAACAGUAGGUGCUGUAA